GAAUGACCCUUCCUUAUAGAUGUAUUUACGUCAAAACAUAUUCCUUGUUCAGAUUAUAAUUACCAUGGUUACUGCAGUGUUUUCACACGGUCAGUACAGCCCGCUAGAUAACAAAUGUCAAUUAUUUCAGUUCUUAGCUACUGCGACAAUGGAUAUCAGCCAAAUGUUGUUUCGAAAGGCAAAUAGGUGUAGAGUAUGCAGGUCUUUUUGGACUGGUGAUGAGCACGUCUCAAGCAACGUCACCGAUUACAGUCGACAGCACAAAACAGAAAGUCGAGGACAAACAUCGAUGUACUGAGCGGGAUUUGAGAACGCGAUCCCAACAUCAAGAGGCCACCGACAUCGGCUAUACCUGACGUAAAUGUUGAAUCCGCGUAUUUAUCUCACUGGGUCCCAUGGAGAUUCUGAAACUAAGAGCGUCAGAGGUACAGCCGCUCCUGUGUUGACUUACCAGGUUUCCAAUCCGUACUUCUUUUCUCUCUAAUUAACGUCUGACACUGCAGCGAGGUUUAAGGUAAGCAGAACAUCAAACCCUCCCGCUCACUACAUUAGAUCCACAUCAUCAUCAAAGGUUCAAAAAUUCACUGGAAAUUACAGAGAUCAAGAGAAGAACACGGUAAACUAGAUACAAGUUAUUCAGACACGUGUUUCUUUCAGCUGGCCUAUUUAGUGCCUCUGCAAACCACAAAAACUACGAGAUCAAUUUAGAAGCCUACAUUUCGCUCUUCGUUAUGGAAGGGCAUGAUAGGCCUAUGACUCCGUUCUACGACACCGAAAACAUCGGUUCCAAACAGUUCACUGUGACAAUAGAAAUGAUUACGAAAUAGCCUCUUGAAAAGAGUAGUUUGACAAUUCGAGGCAAAGGAUAAUAUUAAAAUGGGUAACAUAAAUGUGCCUUGACGAAUGUUCUGGUUUGAUCUUAAUAUACAUUAAGUAAAUAUUCUGUAACGGUGAACAGAUGGAACACAAAAAGUCUUCAAUCUACUUCUGGCUUACAGAAUUACUGUAUUUCUGUCGGCAAACUGUGGCGCGCGGCUGGACUACUAGCCCUGCGAGUCAUGUGGAAGCCGAAGACGGCUGUGGUAGCAAAGGUGUUAAAGAGUAAGAAACGGAUAUGAGCAAUAAUGUGUUCAGAGUGGGCGGAUAACGAGGACUUAGUGUAAUUAGACCCAGCAGGUCACGUUAGGAAAAACAGACCAAAUUUAGGCGCUCAUUUAGAUUUAUCAACAUUUGUAGUUGGCUAAUACUGGAAACAGAGUGAAUACUGAACUACUGUAUUUUCUCUGUGAAUGCAUUCAAAACUUUCAAUGAUAUUUUAAUCCUGUAUUACCUACGUUGCUUAACUUCUUAAAUUUCACUCACAUCAACAGAGUCAAACGUUCAUUUGCAAUCACUGCAUGAAAUGGGAAGCAGCAGUCAGUGGGCGAACUUUCUCUGACUACAACGUCUUUCGUAACACAAAUUAAGUUAUCACGUAACUAGCCUUCGUUCGGGCAGUCAGUGGCACGUAAAAUAUUUAAUUUUACAAACACGAACAUGGACACCUUUCUGUGUUCUCGCGAACAGUACAAGAUAGAACAGGACUGCAGAAGAAGAAGAUCAUGUAAUUUAGCACCGUACUAUGAAGUCCCACCAAGAUACAAGGACGUAUUUCUUUCUUCCUUAGACACAGUAGCCUUUCUUAUGUUCAGUUUUAUUACCCCGAGCACGAGAACAGGAGAGCGGCAUUUGUGGUCCUCAUCCGAUGUAGUAGCAGCCAACCACGAGAUCGGAAGCUGAUGCAGAAUUGUCAACUAAGUCUUGGAAUGAGAAAGCCAGUUUAAAUAUCGGCAUGAAUUAAUGACUGGGGCAUGAAGAACGACUGUCAUGAGCCGAUGUUUCGCUGUCGUAACAUCAAAAGACGGCCCGCUACUUUGCCGACUGAGAGAGAGAACUUCGGCGAAGCGUCAGAAUGAUAUCUUAUUCCUAUUGGCUAACUCAUCAGAAUUUGUUUAUUAUCAAGAAAAUACAACAAAUGUGCAAUAAAUGUUAUCGAAGAGGCAA
Zootermopsis nevadensis is the source of this 2043-nucleotide non-coding RNA. Lineage: Eukaryota; Metazoa; Arthropoda; Insecta; Blattodea; Termopsidae. The record is from RefSeq and is a predicted model, not a curated record.